AGGGAACACGCUGGGUCCUGUGAUAUGGAGAUCCUGAAAACAGAUGCCCAGCUCACCGGAAGUUACAGUCUCCACGGGACACCACAGGUGGCAUUGUGGGGAUAGACUGAAACAUCUUGGGGAAUAGUCCCAGGGUCACAAGAACCACCCUGGCACUUUGUUUAAUGCAUCUUUUGAGCCCCUGUGGAGACCCCGUGCUGAGUUCCACAGUGCAGUAUCAAAGGAGAGGAGACACCUUAAUCUGAUACUCUGGGAAGGGGAUCUAGCCUGUAUCAGGAAGCAGAGAGGGAGCCAAUCCAGAUGCUGCAAAGUCCUGGCAGGUGGCCCUCGGGUCCCCACCCAGAAGAAGCCUGGGUGUCACGACUGGACAGAGGAGGGGCACUGUGGAAGCCUUCCAUUUCCCAGAAGCCUCUUCUUGUUUUGUCCCCAGGAAGAGGGCACUCCUGAGCUUUCUCCUGGGACGCAAUCAAGCUACUUGACACAAGCUGGAUCCUUUUGAGGCUUACUUUGAAGUUUUGUUAGAUUCUGAACUCAGAGACUCCAUCCGGCUCCAUCCAUGCUCCGCCUUCCUGCAUCAGCAUCUGGUCACUUUCUCCAGACAGUCAGAGAGGUGAUCUCAGGGCCUACCCCAAGCAUCAUUGUCCUGUCCCACCUGAGGUCCGAAGGCCUUGAAACUGUUGUUAUCAAUUAGGCAUCUUCACCACCUGCCCCAGGGACCCAGCAACAGCAGGAUACAUCAUCACAGCUGCCAAGAUAGGACAUUCCUACUGUCGGCAUGGGUAGCAGAACCUCGACACAUCGUCAGAUAAAGAGCCAGUUCCCCUCUCUCUUGGCUCCCUUUUUCCCUCCACCCUCGCUGUAUACCCUUCCCCUAAUAAGCCUCCCAUGUGAGAUCUG
This 897-nucleotide long non-coding RNA is filed under the name Mus pahari (shrew mouse). RNAcentral describes it as "lncRNA (MGP_PahariEiJ_G0003988.1)". The record is from RNAcentral. Lineage: Eukaryota; Metazoa; Chordata; Mammalia; Rodentia; Muridae.